RNAcentral lists this ribosomal RNA (710 nucleotides) under Staphylococcus aureus. RNAcentral's name for it is "partial 23S ribosomal RNA". It matches the Rfam family "Bacterial large subunit ribosomal RNA", at positions 572 to 1288 of the family's 2925-position model. The record is from RNAcentral. Lineage: Bacteria; Bacillati; Bacillota; Bacilli; Caryophanales; Staphylococcaceae.
AGUCAGAGCCCGUUAAUGGGUGAUGGCGUGCCUUUUGUAGAAUGAACCGGCGAGUUACGAUUUGAUGCAAGGUUAAGCAGUAAAUGUGGAGCCGUAGCGAAAGCGAGUCUGAAUAGGGCGUUUAGUAUUUGGUCGUAGACCCGAAACCAGGUGAUCUACCCUUGGUCAGGUUGAAGUUCAGGUAACACUGAAUGGAGGACCGAACCGACUUACGUUGAAAAGUGAGCGGAUGAACUGAGGGUAGCGGAGAAAUUCCAAUCGAACCUGGAGAUAGCUGGUUCUCUCCGAAAUAGCUUUAGGGCUAGCCUCAAGUGAUGAUUAUUGGAGGUAGAGCACUGUUUGGACGAGGGGCCCCUCUCGGGUUACCGAAUUCAGACAAACUCCGAAUGCCAAUUAAUUUAACUUGGGAGUCAGAACAUGGGUGAUAAGGUCCGUGUUCGAAAGGGAAACAGCCCAGACCACCAGCUAAGGUCCCAAAAUAUAUGUUAAGUGGAAAAGGAUGUGGCGUUGCCCAGACAACUAGGAUGUUGGCUUAGAAGCAGCCAUCAUUUAAAGAGUGCGUAAUAGCUCACUAGUCGAGUGACACUGCGCCGAAAAUGUACCGGGGCUAAACAUAUUACCGAAGCUGUGGAUUGUCCUUUGGACAAUGGUAGGAGAGCGUUCUAAGGGCGUUGAAGCAUGAUCGUAAGGACAUGUGGAGCGCUUAGAAG